This 349-nucleotide ribosomal RNA is filed under the name soil fungal sp. DM2-101. Its description in RNAcentral is "eukaryotic LSU rRNA". It matches the Rfam family "Eukaryotic large subunit ribosomal RNA", at positions 144 to 497 of the family's 3401-position model. The record is from RNAcentral. Lineage: Eukaryota; Fungi.
UGUAAUUUGCAGAGGAUGUUUUGGGUGCGGUCCCCGUCUAAGUGCCCUGGAACGGGCCGUCAGAGAGGGUGAGAAUCCCGUCUUGGGCGGGGUGUCCGUGCCCGUGUAAAGCUCCUUCGACGAGUCNAGUUGUUUGGGAAUGCAGCUCUGAAUGGGUGGUAAAUUUCNUCUAAAGCUAAAUAUUGGCCGGANACCGAUAGCGCACAAGUAGAGUGAUCGAAAGAUGAAAAGCANUUUGAAAAAAGAGUUAAACAGCACGUGAAAUUGUUGAAAGGGAAGCGCUUGCGACCAGACUCGCCCUCGGGGUUCAGCCGGCACUCGUGCCGGUGUACUUCCCCGGGGGCGGGCC